UGAAAGUUUACGUAAAUUUGUGCUAUAAGAACUUUUUAGAACUUCGUAAUGAAAUCCUGCUACUCCAUCGCUGAUUCAGAAUGUCAUUUACCAGAGUACCCUGUUCUAUCUUCUUCCUCUUCUGACCCUUUGUUGAUUCUGUUUCGCAUUCCCAGUCCCAAAUUUGUAGCUCCGUUUCUCUCCUGGGAAAUGAAGAAAGGGAUCAGAAAAUUCUUCAGCUUUCUCUGCGGACUGUAGUAUCUGAAGCAGUUCGAUUCGAUGCUCACGCCCGCUGCAGAACCCAACAGUAGUGAACUGUCGCAUGGCCCCAGCUCUGGAGGUGCAGAACGUGUCCCUAUAAUUGAAACAAAGUGUACAUGUCUUACAGUAGGGUUCUUAAGGGUUAGCAGCAGGAGGGAGGAAUAACAACAUGUAGCAUCUGUCAACUAACAGCAGGUGACCAUUCUGGGUGGAAGGAUUUAACAUAGGCAGCAGCACCUGCAGCAUGAGGACAAGCCAUGGAUGUCCCUGAUAAUAUGUUGAAUGGAGCAAAGCGAUUAUCCCCCUCCAGUCGCAAGCAGACUGUGAUGAUCAUCCAUGACAGAAACUCCAGCCUCUGGCAACUCUCCCAUAUACACAAUGUAGGACUGUUGAAAGAAAGUAGAUAUUUAUAACUGAUCACUAUGGGAAACUUAGCAGGUUUGUGAGUGUAUACAAACAAAUAUCCAAGAAUGUUAAGUUUCUGCAAAUAAGCAAAACUUUCAUGAAAAGAAACACACACGUACAAACAGAAACGUAAUGAAAUGCACAUAUUUUAUGCAUGUAUCUGUGUAUAUAUGUAUACCUUUCUUUGGUCAUCAGGACUGUUGCUUAAUCCAUGAGAAAAUAAAGUCAAUAGACAAAGACUGAAGAUAAAGAAAGCUGGUAGAGAUAGAUUGUUGGCCAGCUUCAUCUUGUUGCUCGUUGAGUGAAGGAAGAAGGUGGUGAUGGUUUUGGUAUAAAUAGAAAACGAGGGAAGUCGUGCUUUGAAGUGCUCCUUCCAUUUUGGAAGAGAUGUUUAUGAUGUGAGAGAUACUUGGCUUGGAUUCAGUUGAGUUGUUCUACUAACUACUAGUUUAUUCCAAAGAUUUUAUCUACUUACAGAUUAGUGUAUAUCCUUUUUUGUUACAUCAGAUCCUUGAAUUAUCCAAAGUAUCUCAUUUUAGAAUCAUUUCUUGAAAUAUUUUUUGGAAAUUUUAA
Long non-coding RNA from Carica papaya (papaya), 1218 nucleotides. RefSeq lists it as uncharacterized. NCBI's taxonomy places the organism in Eukaryota, Viridiplantae, Streptophyta, Magnoliopsida, Brassicales, Caricaceae. The record is from RefSeq and is a predicted model, not a curated record.